CCUACGGGAGGCAGCAGUGGGAAUCUUGCACAAUGGACGAAAGYCUGAUGCAGCAUGCCGCGUGAGUGAAGAAGGCCUUCGGGUUGUAAACCUCUUUCGACAGGGAAAAAGGGUAGUCUUGCGAACAGUUAGAUUACUGGAUGGUACCUGUAUAAGGAGCACCGGCUAACUUCGUGCCAGCAGCCGCGGUAAUACGAAGGGUGCAAGCGUUGUUCGGAAUAACUGGGCGUAAAGAGCGCGUAGGCGGGUAUGUAAGUUAUCUGUGAAAGCCCCGGGCUUAACCUGGGAAUUGCAGGUAAAACUGCAUAUCUUGAAUACUGCAGGGGAUGGUGGAAUUGCUGGUGGAGAAGUGAAAUUUAUAGAGAUCAGCAGGAACACCUGAGGCGAAGGCGGCCAUCUGGGCAUGUAUUGACGCUGUGGCGCGAAAGCGUGGGUAGCAAACAGGAUUAGAUACCCUGGUAGUCCACGCCGUAAACGAUGGAUACUAGGUGUUCGGAGUAUAACCCUCUGAGUACCGAAGUUCACGCAUAAGUAUCCCGCGCUGGGGAGACCGGUCGCAAGGCUAAAACUCAAAGGAAUUGACGG
This 585-nucleotide ribosomal RNA is filed under the name uncultured bacterium. RNAcentral's name for it is "bacterial SSU rRNA". It matches the Rfam family "Bacterial small subunit ribosomal RNA", at positions 338 to 916 of the family's 1533-position model. The record is from RNAcentral.